Brienomyrus brachyistius is the source of this 2462-nucleotide long non-coding RNA. RefSeq lists it as uncharacterized. The record is from RefSeq and is a predicted model, not a curated record. NCBI's taxonomy places the organism in Eukaryota, Metazoa, Chordata, Actinopteri, Osteoglossiformes, Mormyridae. The transcript has 4 exons.
CUGAAUGCCGUUUCUGUGCUUCCGAAGGUAUUCGCUUACAGAAAAACCCAGCAAUUAACGUGCAGCCGAACCUCUGCGAGUGCGUAACUUCGGUAACAGAAAAGUUUUUCCUUUAGAGAUAACGCAGGAGCCGUGGAGUCUGGGGGUGUCACUCUAAUUUUAUUCUGCAAACAAAGAGUAAGUGUUGGAUUUCCGAGUCACUCUCGCUUGCAUUGUCGUCAAGCGAAAGCCCACGGAGGAAGCAGUAAUGCCGUCUUGUUCUCAACCUUGAAAACAACAGGCCACCUUGUGCCACAUCCCAUUUUUCUGCAGCCAACUCUCCUCCCCAGGCACUAAAUCAAUAGCUAUUGCCACUACACAUACAAGAGUGGAUCUGGUGCUACGUGUGGAGUUUAAGUCUUUGGCAACCUUGAAGUAACUCUUUCUUGUUACAGAUUCGCCUGGGAGAUUCCGUACAUAAAGUUCCCAUUAUUUCAGCAGCGGUCUCCGACGUCAUGACCUCGCUGUCGCUGUCACCGAUGCUCUUGGCUGCCCAGUAAUGCAGCCCGAAGCGAGAGGGUUGGGUGCACUUGCGGAUCAGAACCGCUCCUUUUUCAGCUAUCCUUUUCCUACAGUGAGAUUAAAGAGGAGAGUCACUUAGCCCAUCGCUCUGGUCUCGUGCGACGCGCUGGGCACCGCCGGCCGCGCUGAUGCGAGUGACGCAGGGACCCCUGCUUCCCAGAGCGCUACGACUGAAAGGCAGUACAGUUCAAUAAGAAUAAGAAGAGAAAAAAGAACUAGGGUGUUAAGAGGGGGUUUGCUUUCGACGUUAAAGGACAGAAAACGCAGACAGCGUGCCAUUCUGCGGGUAUCUCGCCUGGCAGUUGAACUGCAUGAGGACGGCUUUGCUCUCAGUAAUUACAGGAAAGCAGGGUCAAUCCCAGGAGCAAUUGGGAGGUAAAGGCCUUGGUCAAGGACUCAAGAGAGAACUCAAUCUUCUGAGUCUACAGUUUCAACUGGUGACCUGGUCACAGGUACAGUGUUCUAACCCACUGAGGCACACCAUCCCAUAGAAAAGACAGAGGCUUGAACUUGGGUCCUUCGGUACAACAACAAGCUCUAAUCAACAGAGCUUUGGCUAAACUUUCAGGCUGCAUCUGGUGAGGAAUACAUCACAAUAGAAAUGCUGGGGAUUGAACCCAUUGUUGAAUUCUUAAAGGAUUUUGCGUACACGGUUCACAAAGUUCAAAGACACUCAUACUCUUCCUGUCCUGCUCCAUAACUGCCCAGCUUUACCAUAAAGAUGUCAAGGUCAGCCCCUGUUGUCUCAGUCUUUUGUGUCCCUUCCCCGUUUGGCCAGCAGAUGUCGCUGGCCAUCCUGUCCCUCUUGUCAGUCUUUCUGUUUCUCCUGUUUCCUAUCAGCCGCAUGGCUCAGCGUGCUGAGCAUGUGGCUACUUGCAAAUCCCUUUGUCCUGUAUGCAAAUCCUGCCUCCUCUGCUUUUGUAUUUUGUUCCCUAGUGUUUCUUUUGUAUGAGUUUAGUUCCCGUGUCUGUUGGUUUUUGUAUUCCAUUUGGUUUCUUGUGUUGAACCUUAGUUAUGUUUUAUUGGUUUUGUGACCCCUUGUGUUAAUUUUUAUGUUUCGAGUUUUCUUGGUUAAUUCUUAGUUUCCCUGUUUUAGUUUCACCUGUGACCUGUUUCCCAGUCUGUUAAUUAGUCUCACCUGUCCUGUGUUAGUCUUGUUACCCAGUUUGAGUUUCAGUAUUUAAGUCCCUGCUUCUGUUCAGUUCCCCAGUGGUUUGUUGUUUGUGAUUCUUAUUAUUCUGUUGAUUGUGAAUGUUCUGAUUCUGUUAGAUGUAUGUUCUGCUUACCUGCCUGCUUGUGAUUAGUCUUUCUUUAUCCCCUUUUGUUUUUGACCCCUCGUGCUCCUUUUGUUUUUUGUAGUGUUCUUAGUAUUGUCUGUUUUAUUUAAUAAAUCGCCAUUUGUUUUGACCCACAAGUGGGUCGUCCAUCAUUUCCGUUCCCCGCCUGCAUGAUGCCUCAUCCCCGUUCAAAACCCGCCUGGAUCCAUGACAAAAGUCUCAUAGGAAAUACUACAUAUUGAAGAAUUUUAAUAUGAGUUCUUAGAGAAACAGCAGUAUCAUCACAGCAUGUCAUUACCGGUCCUUAUGUCUUUUGAUCUCAUUCGUUUUUCACCCUAUAUGUUUGGAGCCAUUGGAAUUUUGAAGAUCUUUGAUGGUUCUUCCACCAAUAUUGAUUAUGCACUUAUCUUAUUCCAUUCUUCCAAACCAACUUUUCUCAUUAUAUAUCCUGUGUACACAUCAAAUAAAUAUGCUGAUAAUAUGCACCCUUGUGUAACUUCUUUACCAGUCUCGAAUGAGUGUCUUUCUCCCUUUUCCUUCAUGGCUGUAACUUCUUGUCCGGAGUAGAGAGUGUAAGGACAAUAAGAUGGUGACGGACAAAUGGCUGGACUCUGAUUCUGGAGU